GUGUUGCUCUAAGAUAUGGCUACAGAGACUAAAUCUAGUGUAGUUAAGGUGAAAGCUAACAGUAAUAAUCAAGUUGGGUCAUCUUCAAAACCCAAAAUUGAUUCAUCUGUUAUAAAGAAAAAGGUUAUUCAGAUCUCAGCUAAGCCAUCUGCAGAUUCAAAGGGUAAAUCUGCCAUUAAUGUAACUAAAACUGAGGUGAAAGGAAAAACAACCUCAACGUCAUCCAAGACCGUCACAAAAACGCAAACCAAAACUAGAGUGAAGAAAGUGUAUUCCUUGGCUGGUCAGAAGUUUGAUGUUCCUGAAGAGCGAGAACCGUUGAGGUUAUUCUAUGAAUCAUUGUCAAAACAGAUACCUUCAAGUGAAAUGGCAGAGUUUUGGUUGAUGGAGCACGGUCUGUUAUCACCCGAGAGAUCAAAGAAGGCGUUU
RNAcentral lists this unclassified non-coding RNA (429 nucleotides) under Hevea brasiliensis (rubber tree). Lineage: Eukaryota; Viridiplantae; Streptophyta; Magnoliopsida; Malpighiales; Euphorbiaceae. The record is from RNAcentral.